CUGGGUCCCUUCUCUUGACAACCACUUCACCACCAUCUGGUAGUUUCCCUAUAUAAACAACAAAAGAAGGCGCCAUUCCAAUCCUGUUCUCUAUUGAGAAACCAUUGGUUGCAGCAGCAAGCUGAGCCAGAGUAAGUUCCUCUGCUCUGUUUAGUCUCCUUACAAGUGGGUUUGGCCUUUUUUGUGUAGUAUUUACUGAGAGUCUAGAAUACAAUAGACCAAAGGCAAAGAUUAUAGGCCAAACUGA
Molecule: unclassified non-coding RNA, 247 nt
Filed under: Hevea brasiliensis (rubber tree)
Lineage: Eukaryota; Viridiplantae; Streptophyta; Magnoliopsida; Malpighiales; Euphorbiaceae
Source: RNAcentral